GGUCUCUUGGCCGAGCGGCUAGGCACCGGUCUGCAAAACCGUCCACUCCGGUUCGAAUCCGGAAGAGACCUCUA
This 74-nucleotide transfer RNA is filed under the name Bacteroidetes bacterium GWA2_31_9. RNAcentral describes it as "tRNA-Cys". It matches the Rfam family "tRNA". From Rfam's summary of the family: Transfer RNA (tRNA) molecules are approximately 80 nucleotides in length. Their secondary structure includes four short double-helical elements and three loops (D, anti-codon, and T loops). Further hydrogen bonds mediate the characteristic L-shaped molecular structure. tRNAs have two regions of fundamental functional importance: the anti-codon, which is responsible for specific mRNA codon recognition, and the 3' end, to which the tRNAs corresponding amino acid is attached (by aminoacyl-tRNA synthetases). tRNAs cope with the degeneracy of the genetic code in two manners: having more than one tRNA (with a specific anti-codon) for a particular amino acid; and 'wobble' base-pairing, i.e. permitting non-standard base-pairing at the 3rd anti-codon position. The record is from RNAcentral. Lineage: Bacteria; Pseudomonadati; Bacteroidota.